RNAcentral lists this unclassified non-coding RNA (2037 nucleotides) under Harpegnathos saltator (Jerdon's jumping ant). RNAcentral describes it as "putative nuclease HARBI1, transcript variant X5". Lineage: Eukaryota; Metazoa; Arthropoda; Insecta; Hymenoptera; Formicidae. The record is from RNAcentral.
UGGCUGAAGAGGUGAAGCAGUUGUAGUACGAAUACUACAAACUACAAACAUGGCAGCGACCGGUUCAGUAGAAAGGUUAGAACUUCUAGAUGCUGAAACAAAUAAAACAUACGUAAUGUAUAUUGAUGUACAAGAUACGGAUAAAGCCCACAAUGGGGCGUCUAGUGAUCAGUUUGUACCACUUACCACUUGCCCUUCACCACUUGCAAGUAAUCACCAUUCACCAAAAGCUAGUAUAUCGCAUGUAAUUAGUAAUGUGGCAAUAGAUGAACAAGAUGGAGAUAAUAUAAAUGGUUCAGAUUAUAAUGAGCUAAAUAAAUCGUCAAAUAAAGAAGAUAUUUAUAUCUGGAGUAAAAAAGAAACAUUAUUAUUAAUAAGUUUAUAUAAAGACAAUGUGUGCGUUUAGGCAAGACACCGCUACUGAAGCGCUACAGCUUUUUCGCUACAACUGUAGCGGUAAAUUGGACAGUGCUACUGUAUAUAAUCUCAAACGAAACAUCUCAUUUGGACACAAUUGGUGUCACUCGCCUAAAAAAUGGCAAAUAUUGAAGAUUGGCUCAUGAAUGAAAUAUUGUUGGAUGAAGAUUUCUCAGAAGAUGAUGAUGAAAUGCUUAGACUUAUUUUCCUUGACUUUCAAGAACAAGAAAACGAUCCCGAUAUUCUGAAUAUCUUUGAAAAUGAUAUAUUUCGUGACAUAUAUUUUCGUGAAAGGCAAAAUGAAAUAGUAAAUUUAAAUUAUUUUGAAGAAGUAAUACCACGUUGUAACGGAAACCAAUUCCAUGUGCAUUUUAAAAUGCAUCGAGGAACAUUUAUAGUAAAUAAUAAAUUGAUUAAUAUUUAUUAUAUAUAUGAACCAUACCCCACGAAAACAAACGUUGUGUCCACGUGAAAUCCACAUGGUUUUGUGGACUAAUGCAAUGUACGUUCCAGAUGAAUUCAACGUACGUUUUUCUGGGAUAAUAUCCUGCUGGUAGUCAUUUUGAGAAUUGGAAAAUGUAGUAAGACCUUUGAUGAGACAAAGAGAAAAUGAUGUAUUACUUUCGAAGAAACUGUUUAACAUUGUGGAUAUAGCCACACCAGAAAGUUUUCGAUCUGUUGCUGAUAGAUUUGGCCUUUCCAAAGGUGUAACUUGGAAAAUUUUUAAAGAAAUGAUUUGGAUAUUAAAAAGAUGGCUGCCACAUUUUAUAAGAUGGUCAAAUGAUGCGGAAUGUAAAGAAAGUGAAAGAAUUUUUGAAAUUCGAUCAAGAGGAUUUCCAGGCGUUGUAGGAGUUAUUGAUGGCUGUCAUAUCGCAAUUAAACAACCGCUUAGGAAUGCAAAUGAUUACUAUAAUCGCAAAGAAUUUCAUUCCAUUAUUUAGCAAGGUGUUUGUGACCAUACGGGGAAGUUUAUAGACUGUCUCAUUGGUCGGCCUGGAUGUGCACAUGAUGCAGCAGUUUUUCGCAGCAGUAAUAUUUAUACUGCACUGACAGACGAAGCAAAUCCACUUUUACCUCCUCGACGACACAUUCUUGGUGAUUCCGCAUAUCCAUUGCUUCAAAAUGUGACUCCAUUUCGAGACAAUGGAAAUUUAACCCCAGAAAAGUCUACAUAUAAUACUAGACUUUCCUCAAUACGAUCGAUAAUAGAGCGUACAUUUGGAUUGCUGGAAGGAAAGUGGCGAAGGCUGAAAUAUCUUAAUGUACAAAAUAUUGAAAUGGCAAAUUAUAUUGUUGCAGCUGCAUGCAUUCUUUACAAUUUUCUUAUAUUACAUAAUGAAAUGAACAUGACAAAAUUUAAAUAUUAACAUUGAGCAUGAAGAUUAUAACAAUGAUGAAGAUGAUAAUAAUGAUGAAUUUCAAAAUGACAACGGGCGAAUGAAAAGACAAGAAAUUGUAAACAGGUUUCAAGUAAUGCAGUAAUGCAAAGAGGUUUUUUGUAAUGCACUAAAAAAUUUAAAAUCCAAUCACCAGCAUAGACUAAUGCGUUAUAAAUUAUGUCUUGAUCUCGAAAUAUUGUUUAAAAAGGACUUGAGAUAAUAAAUUUUUUGUAUAAAUGUA